Paramuricea clavata is the source of this 379-nucleotide non-coding RNA. Lineage: Eukaryota; Metazoa; Cnidaria; Anthozoa; Malacalcyonacea; Plexauridae. The record is from the annotation of a GenBank genome assembly.
CUGCUGCCGUAAUAUCGGGGAAGCUGGCAAAUGAAAGUGGAAAAGAAGCAUCGAAGCGGGACGGCCAUAUUGAAGAGACGCAUGUUGCUUCGACUUUGAAUAUUAAUGACUCGAGAGACGUAGAUAAUGAUGUUAACCGGCCAUUUGUUGAUGAAAUUCAAUGCGAAGAAGCUAUUCCUAAUGUUAUCGAAAAAAUUCCAGCAAACAGCCGUUCCAUACAAGAUGACCAAAUGUUGUCCCUUGAGGCCCUUCAAAGCCAAAUACAAGCUCUUACCAAAGAAGUAAACGGAAAUACGGCUGCUUUAGAAAACAUAAGGGAACCAAAAAUGGACUCCAAUCCAUUGUUAGUUCAAGAAUCAAAAAACGAAGUUGAUUGCCU